This 431-nucleotide long non-coding RNA is filed under the name Neogobius melanostomus (round goby). RNAcentral describes it as "lncRNA (ENSNMLG00000015914.1)". The record is from RNAcentral. Lineage: Eukaryota; Metazoa; Chordata; Actinopteri; Gobiiformes; Gobiidae.
AAUCUAUAUCAUCAAUAAAAAAUAUUUGAUUGAGUUGAACAUCGGUGGUAACGUGCCCCUGUCAUUGGACGGCAGAUGGAGGCUUUUCCAAGAGACGAGCAUCAGAGCCUGUGCAGCCUCUGUAUGACUAUCCACGGUCGUACCUAAAACAGAUACCUGUAAGCAAAUCAGUAGAUGAAGGACUUUAUGAGGACAUGGUGGAGAUGAAGAAAAGUGAAGAAGGCUCCCAAGCUCUUGACAAAGAAGUAGAAGCAGCUACAGGCAGCCUGACCAAGUCCAUGAACCUGGUUUUUGACCGGCUCAAGACCCAGUUCUCACCACUGCCUUCCUUCUGUGAGGAGACGAAUAUGGACAGGUACGUCAUAUUGAUUCUGUGGAUACUGAUGUACAGUAUGUGCAACGUGUAUUUUUUGUGGCCUAGAUACCAAUGC